Molecule: ribosomal RNA, 762 nt
Filed under: Triticum aestivum (bread wheat)
Lineage: Eukaryota; Viridiplantae; Streptophyta; Magnoliopsida; Poales; Poaceae
Description: partial small subunit ribosomal RNA
Source: RNAcentral
AUGACUUUUCCUGACUCACCAAUCACCCCCGUCGUGCCUGUGCCUAUUCGUUCCACUCCCUCUGCUUCUCCACCUCUAGUCGAUUUGCAGCCACCAUCUUCUCCGGUCUCCUCGCCUAGCAUGUCACCGGAUUCUACACCUUCAUCUCCGGUGACUUCUUCGUCGCCACCCCCUGAUUCUACCUUGGCGAUUCCUCCUUCUAUUGUUCCCUCUUUUCCUCAGCAUUACACUCGUCGUUCACGACCUGUGGAUGCCUCAUUGGAUGAGUCGUCCUCUUCCUCUCAGCCUACUUAUGGCUUGCGUUCUCGUCCUCGUCCGCCUGUUGAUCGCUUUGGAUUUCCCACCGCUGGUGCUGCUGUUCUUGAGCCGACUUCUUACCGUCAGGCUGUUGUUCAUCCUGAAUGGCAGUUUGCGAUGGCAGAGGAGAUUGCUGCUCUUGAACGCACUGGUACCUGGGAUCUUGUUUCUCUUCCUCCCGGAGUCCGUCCCAUCACUUGUAAGUGGGUCUACAAGGUUAAGACUCGCUCCGAUGGUUCUCUUGAGCGUCACAAAGCUCGUCUUGUGGCUCGUGGUUUUCAGCAGGAGCAUGGUCGUGAUUAUGACGAGACUUUUGCUCCUGUGGCCCAUAUGACCACUAUUCGUACACUUCUUGCCGUUGCCUCUGCACGCCAUUGGUCUAUAUCUCAGCUUGAUGUUAAGAAUGCCUUUCUUAAUGGUGAGCUGCGUGAGGAGGUGUACAUGCAGCCACCAGGGCGUGGGUAG